This 1390-nucleotide ribosomal RNA is filed under the name Chaetothyriales sp. Its description in RNAcentral is "eukaryotic LSU rRNA". It matches the Rfam family "Eukaryotic large subunit ribosomal RNA", at positions 34 to 1442 of the family's 3401-position model. Lineage: Eukaryota; Fungi; Ascomycota; Eurotiomycetes; Chaetothyriales. The record is from RNAcentral.
UUAAGCAUAUCAAUAAGCGGAGGAAAAGAAACCAACAGGGAUUCCCUUAGUAACGGCGAGUGAAGCGGGAACAGCUCAAAUUUGAAAUCUGGCCUGUAUGGGCCUGAGUUGUAAUUUGUAGAGGAUGUUUCGGGCAAGGCAUUGGUGUAAGUUUCUUGGAACAGAACGUCAUAGAGGGUGAGAGUCCCGUCUAGCACCGGCCGCCGCGUCCAUGUGAAACUCCUUCGACGAGUCGAGUUGUUUGGGAAUGCAGCUCAAAAUGGGUGGUAAAUUUCAUCUAAAGCUAAAUAUUGACCGGAGACCGAUAGCGCACAAGUAGAGUGAUCGAAAGAUGAAAAGCACUUUGAAAAGAGAGUUAAACAGUAUGUGAAAUUGUUGAAAGGGAAGCGCUUGCCACCAGACUUGAGCGUGACGGCUCCCCUCGUCUUCUGACGGGGCUAUUCCGUCAUGUCCAGGCCAGCAUCGGUCCGGGUGGUCGGUUAAAGGCUUUGGGAAUGUAUCUUAUCUUCGGGUAAGACUUAUAGCCCAGGGUGUAAUGCGGCCUACCCGGACCGAGGAACGCGCUUCGGCUCGGAUGCUGGCGUAAUGGUUGUAAGCGGCCCGUCUUGAAACACGGACCAAGGAGUCUAACAUCUAUGCGAGUGUUAGGGCGUCAAACCCUUGCGCGUAAUGAAAGUGAACGGAGGUAAGAACCUUAANNNGCGCAUUAUCGACCGAUCCUGAUGUCUUCGGAUGGAUUUGAGUAAGAGCAUAGCUGUUGGGACCCGAAAGAUGGUGAACUAUGCCUGAAUAGGGUGAAGCCAGAGGAAACUCUGGUGGAGGCUCGCAGCGGUUCUGACGUGCAAAUCGAUCGUCAAAUUUGGGUAUAGGGGCGAAAGACUAAUCGAACCAUCUGGUAGCUGGUUCACGCCGAAGUUUCCCUCAGGAUAGCAGUAACGUUUUCAGUUUUAUGAGGUAAAGCGAAUGAUUAGAGGCCUUGGGGUUGAAACAACCUUAACCUAUUCUCAAACUUUAAAUAUGUAAGAAGUCCUUGUUACUUAAUUGAACGUGGACAUUUGAAUGUAUCGUUACUAGUGGGCCAUUUUUGGUAAGCAGAACUGGCGAUGCGGGAUGAACCGAAAGUGAGGUUAAGGUGCCGGAAUAUACGCUCAUCAGACACCACAAAAGGUGUCAAUGCAUCCAGACAGCCGGACGGUGGCCAUGGAAGUCGGAAUCCGCUUAGGAGUGUGUAACAACUCACCGGCCGAAUGCAUUGGCCCUGAAAAUGGAUGGCGCUUAAGCGUGUUACCUACACCUCGCCGUCAGGGUUAUAAUGAUGCCCUGACGUGUAGGCGUGCGUGGAGGUUUGUGACGAAGCCUUGGGGAUGACCCCGGGUCGAACAACCUCUAG